UUGCAGCAUGAUUCACUCUAGAAAAGAUUUGGAAUCAACCUAGGUAUUUCUCAACCAAGAGUAGAUAAAGCAAUGUGGUGAUUUGUUGGACACACCAAUGCUCCUGACACAUGCUAUUCACUUGGAGCAGCUCCUCUUAUGUGGCACAUUCACAGUGCAACGGCUCUGCAAGAAGCAUGGCCCCAGCAUCUGCUUCUGGUGAGGCCUCAGGAAGCAUUCAGUUGUGGAGGAAGACAAAGGAGGAGCAGUUGCGCUAUACAGCAAAAGAGGAGGAGGCAGGAAAAGGAGGAGGAGGUAGCCGGCUCUUUGUAACCAGCAGACCUCCCAUAACUAAUGGAGUGAUAACUCACUCAUUACUGCCAGAAAGGCAAGAAGGCAUUCAUGAGGGAUCUGUACCUACAACGCAAAGUCCUCCCACUCCUUCUAUUGUGGGCUACCUAAAAAUGGAACAUAUUAACUUCCAAGAUAUUUGGGUGCACAGAUAUUAAAAAUAAAAUAAGCUGCCACACA
This 510-nucleotide long non-coding RNA is filed under the name Homo sapiens (human). RNAcentral's name for it is "HSALNT0320003". Lineage: Eukaryota; Metazoa; Chordata; Mammalia; Primates; Hominidae. The record is from RNAcentral.